AACAGCGUUAACAUUCUCUGUUAA
RNAcentral lists this non-coding RNA (24 nucleotides) under Arabidopsis thaliana (thale cress). The record is from RNAcentral. Lineage: Eukaryota; Viridiplantae; Streptophyta; Magnoliopsida; Brassicales; Brassicaceae.